RNAcentral lists this long non-coding RNA (2323 nucleotides) under Malus domestica (apple). RNAcentral describes it as "long non-coding RNA (MDOM_LNC002696)". Lineage: Eukaryota; Viridiplantae; Streptophyta; Magnoliopsida; Rosales; Rosaceae. The record is from RNAcentral.
CGCAGUAGAACUUAAACCCGCACUGGAAGAAUUGGAACUAGUACCACUUCUCUUAAAAGUCUACGUCUUGCGAGGUCCUUGUGAUGACUAGCCCUUAUCUUUAUUAUUAUUCUGGUUACUAUCUUUUUCUUCCUCUUCCUCGCUGUCACUGGGCAUAUUUUCAUAAUCCUUAAUUCAUAGUAAAAUCUCAUAAAACUCCUGCUAUGUAGCACAUAGAGUCGUGGUCACCGUGGAAACGCCAUUUCUUUCUAGUACCCAAUCUAAAAUGGCGAAGCAUCUUUGCGGAAUUUGCAGCAAUCUCAGGGCAAUAACGAGAUAAAUCAGUAAACUUACGAUAAUACUCAUUAGCUGACAUAUUUCCUUUCUUUAGGUGUGUGAAUUCUUGCUUCUUACAAUCUAUAUACUCUAGGGGUACAAAUCUUUUUAGGAGGAUUUCCCUGUCUAUGCAUCAAUCAAAAAGUUUUCUCAAUAUGAUUGAGCCAACACUAGGCUCCCUCAGGCCCGUCAAUACCCAAAAAAUUAUUCAACUUUAGAUUAUACACAGUCUCCAAGGGAGUCUUCUGGGGAGGACGAAGCGAAGACUGAAUGACAUUGGCAAUUGCUUCCCCAAGUUGAGUAAUAUCGGGGAAACUAGACUCAGCGGAAGUACAUGGCUCUCUACGAGGCGGCAUGGUUCUGAAAAAAAGACACCAAAAUAAUUAGAAUACUCACAAAAUAUGUAGGACUGCCAAACCUAGGCUCUGAUACCAAACUGACACACCCCGACCCAAAUCGAGCAGUGAUGGCCGUCACGUGAAGGUGAUGAAGCUAUGUGCGCAGUGCAGAAGUGAUAGUGAUAUGAAAGUGUGAGUAAACAAAACCAAACUAACUAAUUUACACUAUACUAAUAUAUAAGUGCAAGUGAAGAUAUUUAAGUAUAGUUUCACUUAUGCAAAGUGUAGGUAACCUAAGUGCAGUCUAGCAUGUUAAGUACUAAUUAUACAAUACCAGAGAGGUGGUCUUACAUUAUUUAUAGUCUAUCAGAACUGUCGUCGACUCCUCGUAAGCCACCAACAAGCACGCCUACCCAGAACCUGGAAGGGCGCAAAAUAGAAAGUGUGAGUAGGCAAAAACAAAGCUUUUCAAAACCAUUUCUCUUUCCAAAAGUAAUAACCCUUCACCGUAAAACCCGUAUAAUUUUCCAGAAACUAGCAUACAUACAUAUACAGAAACCAUACUAAAAAAUAGUGAAAUCCAUAUAUAUGCCAUGUCAAAUAUCUCAGCAUAAUAAUUAAGUAAACCAGGUGAAGUAAAUCAAUGUAAAGUGAUAUGUCAGCCGAAUCCACCUUGUGUGGCCUGUACGGCUGAACUUAUAGCUCAUCAAAUAUGUCUGCACAUGAGUCAGAAUCACCUAGUAUGGUCUGUACGACAUGGCUAGGUGUAAUAAGUACGCUCAAGUACUACGAUCACAUGAAGGUUGUGCGAUAAAUCGCGGGUCACCUAAGAGUCAGAAUCACCUAUUGUGGUCUGUACAACAGGGUUGUGCACCAAACUUGGAUCCAAGGUGAGCAUGUGGUAUGUGAGGUGAACAUCACGUGAAGAGUUGUGCCCUGGCCACGGGCUAGAGCACUAACACUGGGGUGCAAGUUUAUGAGCUUUAAAUGCAUCUAUGUAUAACCAUCAUAAUGCAACUCACAAUCAUUAUUACAUAUACUCACCUGGAACUUACUGAGCGUCUGCAGCGUCAAAUACUAACAUACAUAACUACUAAUGCAUAUUCUAAAAUAUAAAGCAUUUGACAUGGCAUCUAAAAUACAAAAUCAUUUCAAUCAAUUUUUUUGGGAAAAACGUAAGGCAUAUAUACAUAUAUUAAAUCAAAAGCCCACUCACUGAUAUGUGGCAGGGUCGUAACCCCUGUAUCUCGCCUGACUGCGCUCGUCUUCCAGAAAUGUCUCACCUGAUGCAGUUAGUAUAUUCCGUCAAAAUUGACUGAAUAUUUUGCUUCUUCUCUGGUGGUUCACCGAAUUCCGUUGUUGGCCGCCAUCUGUGUCACCGGAAACACUUUGAAGACCUAAAUCCGAUGGAAAAUAGUCGAAAAAUUCCUCGUAAUUUCGACUAAACCUUCUUAAGUCUCAAAACUAGCUAAAACCUUCGCGAUCACGUCGGAGAAAAUUGCACUCCUUGCCGGAGCUCGGGUAUCUCGAGUUCUACCAGUUCUACCAUUCCUCUCCUCAAACCAAGGGUACGGCUCGACUCGUGAGGUCGAGGGAAGCACAAUAAUGCUAACCUUACACUCGAUCUGUGAGGUUCUGGUUCAGUUUGAGUGUGAUGUCUUCGGUUGUAC